AACGCGAAGAACCUUACCAGCUCUUGACAUGUCACGUAUGGGUACCGGAGACGGUAUCCUUCAGUUCGGCUGGCGUGAACACAGGUGCUGCAUGGCUGUCGUCAGCUCGUGUCGUGAGAUGUUGGGUUAAGUCCCGCAACGAGCGCAACCCUCGCCCUUAGUUGCCAUCAUUCAGUUGGGCACUCUAGGGGGACUGCCGGUGAUAAGCCGAGAGGAAGGUGGGGAUGACGUCAAGUCCUCAUGGCCCUUACGGGCUGGGCUACACACAUGCUACAAUGGCGGUGACAAUGGGCAGCGAAAGGGCGACCUGGAGCUAAUCUCAAAAAACCGUCUCAGUUCGGAUUGCACUCUGCAACUCGAGUGCAUGAAGUUGGAAUCGCUAGUAAUCGUGGAUCAGCAUGCCACGGUGAAUACGUUCCCGGGCCUUGUACACACCGCUACAGU
Molecule: ribosomal RNA, 444 nt
Filed under: uncultured bacterium
Lineage: Bacteria
Description: bacterial SSU rRNA
Rfam family: Bacterial small subunit ribosomal RNA
Source: RNAcentral